RNAcentral lists this ribosomal RNA (1686 nucleotides) under Schistura longa. RNAcentral describes it as "16S ribosomal RNA". It matches the Rfam family "Bacterial large subunit ribosomal RNA". The record is from RNAcentral. Lineage: Eukaryota; Metazoa; Chordata; Actinopteri; Cypriniformes; Nemacheilidae.
GCCAAACAGCUAGCUUAAUUACCAGAACUAACCAAACAACAUAAAUAGAAUAAAACUAACUUAGACCAAUAAAUUAAACCAUUUUUCCACCAUAGUACGGGAGACGGAAAAGGCCCCCCACAAGCAAUAGAAAAAGUACCGUAAGGGAAAGCUGAAAGAGUAGUGAAACAACCCAUAUAAGCGCAAAAAAGCAAAGCCUAAGCCUUGUACCUUUUGCAUCAUGAUUUAGCCAGUACCCAACAAGCAAAGAGAUCUUUAGUUUGAAGCCCCGAAACCAAGUGAGCUACCCCGGGACAGCCUAAUAGGGCCAACCCGUCUCUGUGGCAAAAGAGUGGGAAGAGCCCCGGGUAGAGGUGACAGACCUACCGAGCUUGGUGAUAGCUGGUUGCCUAAGAAAUGAAUAGAAGUUCAGCCUCGUACCCCUUAGCUCAAUUAAGAAAUAUCUGAUCAAGCACACAAGAAAAAUACGAGAGUUAGUUAAAGGGGGUACAGCCCCUUUAACCAAGGACACAACCUUAACAGGAGGAUAAGGAUCACACUUUUCAAAACCAGUCGUCCCAGUGGGCCUAAAAGCAGCCAUCUGACCAGAAAGCGUUAAAGCUCAAGCGACACAAGAUUUAUUAUUCUGAUAAAUAAUCCAACUCCCCUAAUUCUACUAGGCCAUUCCAUGCCAACAUGGAAAGAGGACCAUGCUAAAAUGAGUAACAAAGAGGACUAAACUCUCUCCAAAGCACAAGUGUAAACCCAGACCGGAACAAGCCACUGGAAAUUAACGAGCCCCAAAAAAAGAGUGUAAUGUGAAGCACAAAAAAGCCAAGAAAGUCUCACAGCGCAGAAUCGUUAACCUCACACUAGAGUGUCACCAAGGAAAGACUAAAAGAGAGGGAAGGAAACUCGGCAAACAUAAGCCUCGCCUGUUUACCAAAAACAUCGCCUCCUGCAAACCCCCACGUAUAGGAGGUCCAGCCUGCCCAGUGACUACAAGUUCAACGGCCGCGGUAUUUUGACCGUGCAAAGGUAGCGCAAUCACUUGUCUUUUAAAUGAAGACCUGUAUGAAUGGCCAAACGAGGGCUUAGCUGUCUCCCCCAUCAAGUCAGUGAAAUUGAUCUAUCCGGGCAGAAGCGGGUAUCAAUAUACAAGACGAGAAGACCCUUUGGAGCUUAAGGUACAAAUCCACCUACGUUAAACAGCCUCCUAAGUAGGCGCAAACCUAAUAGAAUAUGGAAUUUUUACCUUCGGUUGGGGCGACCAUGGAGAACAAGAAAUCCUCCAAGUGGACUGGGAACUUCCCUAAAACCAAGAAAGACAUUUCCAAGUCACAGAAAAUCUGACCAAGUAUGAUCCGGCCGCCCAGGCCGAUCAACGAACCAAGUUACCCUAGGGAUAACAGCGCAAUCCCCUCCAAGAGUCCAUAUCGACGAGAGGGUUUACGACCUCGAUGUUGGAUCAGGACAUCCUAAUGGUGCAGCCGCUAUUAAGGGUUCGUUUGUUCAACGAUUAAAGUCCUACGUGAUCUGAGUUCAGACCGGAGCAAUCCAGGUCAGUUUCUAUCUGUAAUGUCAUUUUUCCUAGUACGAAAGGACCGGAAAAAAGAGGCCCAUGCUGAAAGUACGCCUCACCCCUAAUUAAUGAAAGCAACUAAAUUAAAUAAAGGGCGGACUCAAAAAACGCCUAAAUAAGGCCAC